CCCUUAGAUGUUCUGGGCCGCACGCGCGCUACACUGACACACUCAGCGAGUCUCUGAUCCGAGAGGACCAGGUAAUCAUGUGAGCGUGUGUCGUGAUGGGGAUAGAAUAUUGUAAUUAUUGUUCUUCAACGAGGAGUUCCUAGUAAGCGCAAGUCAGCAGCUUGCGCUGAUUACGUCCCUGCCCUUUGUACACACCGCCCGUCGCUCCUACCGAGUGGGUGAUCCGGUGAAUGACUCGGACUCUGGCAUUGCUAGCAACAUAGCUUUGCUGGAGGAAGUUUUGUGAACCUUAUCACUUGGAGGAAGGAGAAGUCGUAACA
RNAcentral lists this ribosomal RNA (320 nucleotides) under uncultured eukaryote. RNAcentral's name for it is "partial 18S ribosomal RNA". It matches the Rfam family "Eukaryotic small subunit ribosomal RNA", at positions 1470 to 1796 of the family's 1831-position model. The record is from RNAcentral.